UUUAAGUGCAAUCAUGAGUUUCCACGCUCAAUUUUUAUCGUCCGUCUUAUUUAAAUUUUUUUUAUAAUUAGUAUUUUUGUUGUUACAAGAUGAUAAAACAUGAAUAGUACUUUACUCGUGGCUUAUAUUUUUAAUUUUUUUUCAAAAAUUUUUAAAUAAGACAGACGAUUAAAGUUGGGCGUGGAAAACCAUGGUUGUACUUAAA
This is a non-coding RNA of Oryza glaberrima (African rice), 205 nucleotides long. NCBI's taxonomy places the organism in Eukaryota, Viridiplantae, Streptophyta, Magnoliopsida, Poales, Poaceae. The record is from Rfam.